GACGAACGCUGGCGGCGUGCCUAAUACAUGCAAGUCGAGCGAAUCGAUGGGAGCUUGCUCCCUGAGGUUAGCGGCGGACGGGUGAGUAACACGUGGGUAACCUGCCUGUAAGACUGGGAUAACUCCGGGAAACCGGGGCUAAUACCGGAUAACAUCUAGAAUCGCAUGAUUCUAGAUUAAAAGAUGGUUUCGGCUAUCACUUACAGAUGGACCCGCGGCGCAUUAGCUAGUUGGUGAGGUAACGGCUCACCAAGGCAACGAUGCGUAGCCGACCUGAGAGGGUGAUCGGCCACACUGGGACUGAGACACGGCCCAGACUCCUACGGGAGGCAGCAGUAGGGAAUCUUCGGCAAUGGACGAAAGUCUGACCGAGCAACGCCGCGUGAGUGAAGAAGGUUUUCGGAUCGUAAAACUCUGUUGUUAAGGAAGAACAAGUACGAGAGUAACUGCUCGUACCUUGACGGUACUUAACCAGAAAGCCACGGCUAACUACGUGCCAGCCGCCGCAGUAACAC
This 515-nucleotide ribosomal RNA is filed under the name uncultured bacterium. RNAcentral's name for it is "bacterial SSU rRNA". It matches the Rfam family "Bacterial small subunit ribosomal RNA", at positions 28 to 526 of the family's 1533-position model. The record is from RNAcentral.